RNAcentral lists this transfer RNA (74 nucleotides) under Psophia crepitans (common trumpeter). Its description in RNAcentral is "tRNA-Val". Lineage: Eukaryota; Metazoa; Chordata; Aves; Gruiformes; Psophiidae. The record is from RNAcentral. RNAcentral also lists the same sequence under 1 other name.
CAAGACGUAGCUAUAACGCCCAAAGCACUCAGCUUACACCUGAGAGAUAUCUGCCACCCAUCAGAUCGUCUUGA